GGGGAAUAUUGCGCAAUGGGCGAAAGCCUGACGCAGCAACGCCGCGUGAGUGAAGAAGGCCUUCGGGUUGUAAAGCUCUGUCAGAAGGAAAGAAUGGGUCGGAUAACCUCCGGCUUUGACGGUACCUUCGAAGGAAGCACUGGCUAACUCUGUGCCAGCAGCCGCGGUAAUACAGAGAGUGCAAGCGUUGUUCGGAAUUAUUGGGCGUAAAGCGCGUGUAGGCGGCUUGAUAAGUCUGGCGUGAAAGCCUGAGGCUUAACCUCAGAAGUGCGCUGGAAACUGUCAAGCUGGAGUAUCGGAGGGGGAAGUGGAAUGCCGAGUGUAGAGGUGAAAUUCGUAGAUAUUCGGCAGAACAUCAGUGGCGAAGGCGACUUCCUGGACGAAUACUGACGCUGAGACGCGAAAGCGUGGGUAGCAAAC
This 420-nucleotide ribosomal RNA is filed under the name uncultured bacterium. RNAcentral's name for it is "bacterial SSU rRNA". It matches the Rfam family "Bacterial small subunit ribosomal RNA", at positions 356 to 773 of the family's 1533-position model. The record is from RNAcentral.